Molecule: ribosomal RNA, 254 nt
Filed under: uncultured bacterium
Lineage: Bacteria
Description: partial 16S ribosomal RNA
Rfam family: Bacterial small subunit ribosomal RNA
Source: RNAcentral
UACGGGGGGAGCAAGCGUUGUUCGGAUUUACUGGGCGUAAAGGGCGCGUAGGCGGUCAGCACAAGUCAGUUGUGAAAUCUCCGGGCUUAACUCGGAAAGGUCAACUGAUACUGUGCGGCUAGAGUGCAGAAGGGGCAACUGGAAUUCUCGGUGUAGCGGUGAAAUGCGUAGAUAUCUGGAGGAACACCGGUGGCGAAGGCGGCGUUCUGGACUGCAACUGACACUGAGGAACGAAAGCCAGGGGAGCAAACGGG